UGGGCUUGUAGCUCAGUGGAUUAGAGCACGUGGCUACGAACCACGGUGUCGGGGGUUCGAAUCCCUCCUUGCCCGA
Molecule: transfer RNA, 76 nt
Filed under: Symphyocladia marchantioides
Lineage: Eukaryota; Rhodophyta; Florideophyceae; Ceramiales; Rhodomelaceae
Also listed under: 23 other names
Description: tRNA-Arg
Rfam family: tRNA
About the family: Transfer RNA (tRNA) molecules are approximately 80 nucleotides in length. Their secondary structure includes four short double-helical elements and three loops (D, anti-codon, and T loops).
Source: RNAcentral